This 1027-nucleotide long non-coding RNA is filed under the name Numida meleagris (helmeted guineafowl). RNAcentral describes it as "lncRNA (ENSNMEG00000019669.1)". Lineage: Eukaryota; Metazoa; Chordata; Aves; Galliformes; Numididae. The record is from RNAcentral.
GGGGAAUGGGAACUGGAAAACAGUUACUCAGUUAAUGCAGAAGUUAAAAAAAAGAACCUAAUUACUUGUGUAAGAAGAAAAAAAAAGCAAGGGAAAAAAAAAAGCAUUGAAGGGCAGAGAAGCAUUAAAUGUUAAAGCAGAAAGUUGCCUUUGCCACAGAGGAAAAAAAAUAAAAAUAUUAAAAAAAAGAAGAAGAAGAAAAGAAAAGAAGAAAAGAAAAGAAGAAUUAAAACCAGCCCGAUCCUGAGGGUAGCCGUCAGAGUGGCGCGGGGUGGGAGCGCGCCCUGCAUGUAUGGAUGAGCACAGAAGCGGCCGAGGACCGCCGUUCGCGCAGUUUCCGCUCAGUGUAGAGGACGCGCAGCAGCGCGGAGCGAGGGCGCUGUAUGGAGAGGUGUGCAAUGAGAAGCGGAUGGAUGGAGGGAAACGGGGAGGGGUGAGGAGAGGGGUCUGCCGGAUCCGGGGUUGUUCCUGUUACAGCCGCCGCGGUACAAAGAGAAGGACUGCGCGGUGUGUGGUGAAGGCAAACGGCGCAGGGUGUUGGUGGAAGGAGAGUCAUCACUGCUGAUGGGGAAUAAAAUGUAUUUAAGCCAAAAAAAAAAAAAAAAAAAAAAAGGAAAGAAAAAUUCUAUCUGUAAGGUGGUGAUGGGAGAUAAAAUGGUUACUGGGGGAAAGCUGGUGGCUUGGGAAGUGAGGCAGAUAGGGGAGAGUGCUCACCAAGUCGCCCCUUUGCUGUGAUGCGGUGGGUAUCCGCAUGUGCUUAGGGGUAGGGGCGCGGUGUGAGCCGGCACACACACACACACACACACGCACACGCACACACACAUCGCCGAGGGCGGGCAGACCCCCCGCCCCCCGGGCUCAGCCGGGGGAGGUGCCUCGGUCCCCCCCACCCCGGCGGGGAGGGGGCACGGCGGGGCCGGGAGGGGCUCGCGGGAGCCGGCAGCGCGGAUGUCUUCACCUGGGUCUGUGCAGCAGUGAGCGCGGCGAGGAGAGGCGGCUGAACAGUAUAAGGGACUGCUCAAUUUGA